CCCCGCCUCCACCUUCACCGCCGCCGCCGGAGUCAUACCCACCUCCACCUUCGCCACCGCCGCCGGCGUCGUACCCGCCGCCUCCUUCACCACCUCCACCGGCGUCGUACCCGCCUCCACCUUCGCCGCCACCACCGGCGUCAUCCCCGCCUCCACCUUCACCGCCGCCACCGGCGCGAUCCCCGCCGCCUCCUCCCCCUUCUCCUCCACCGCCGCCACCGGCGUCCAACUGGACUCCCGUGGCGAACGUGAACGACCCGGCGAUCCAGCAGGUGGCGCAGUUCGCCGUGCGCAUCUACGCGCUCAGCACCAAGGAGCUCAAGAUGCAGCUGCUGAGCGUCAUCAGCGGCGAGACCCAGCCGUGCGACGGCGGGUACAACUACCGGCUGGUCAUCACAGUGACCGGCGGCAAGAAGACGCAGUACGACGCCUUCGUCUGGGGCAUCCUGGGGACCAUGUCGUGGAAGCUCUGGUCAUUCACGCCCCAUGUGUAAAAUUAAACGAGCCCCAUGGCACGCAUGCUGACUUCAUGCACGCAUGCACACUGGCAAGGAGAAACCAUGCAUACCAGCAUAACGUCUAGUUUGAUCAUUGCUUAGUUUCAGAGAAUCCUUUUUUUCAUCGUUAUUUUGGUUAGUUUGUAGUAGAAGAGUUUUCUUAUACUUUUGCUGUUCAGAAUGCAUCAUGCAUAUUAUUGUACUUCUCUCCUAUCUUUUCCUCUAGCAAUAAAAUCACAUAUUUUGUGUAUUAUCCGGCUCAAAAUCUCCUACUGUCUUGUAGAGAUGUUUAAUUACAUGCAUUACUUUUUUAAGAGAGAAAUACGUGCACCACUCCAGGUAUCAUUUACUCACUCC
Molecule: long non-coding RNA, 854 nt
Filed under: Setaria viridis
Lineage: Eukaryota; Viridiplantae; Streptophyta; Magnoliopsida; Poales; Poaceae
Description: long non-coding RNA (SVIR_LNC011427)
Source: RNAcentral